AUGAAGUACUUCUCCUGCCUCUUGUGGUUUUCCUGUGACCAACUGCUACAAAAUGAUUCAUCCCCUUCUGUGUCGUCAGAAACGUCAGAAUCUUCUUCUCAACAGAUGCCUUUGGUGUGCUGUCCUAAUGUUGUCCUUCCAUGUAAUUCAAGUACAAGGUCAGUCUCUGAUCUACUGUCUUUAUUGCUGAGUUGUGUCGUCACUGUAUGUUAUUCCAUGAUUAGUCUAUGAUUGGAUUGGGUAAUGUAUAACUGCUUAAAUGGGGGAAAAAAAGGGGGGGGGGGAAGACAGGCAUAUUAUGUGACAUAACAUCUAAGUGUUCAGUAUAACAUGUCUUGGUCUGAAACUGGCAAUGAAACAGCAGUGAUCACAGAAUUUGUUUUGUCAUAAUUUUUGCCUGCUGAUCUCACAUCAGAGUUCAUCUGCCAAAGUGUCAUGGUCUGGGUGAGUGAGAUGUUUUUUCAUAGAGCUGGGGCUCCACCUCUGGAUGGAGUCUCCAUUCAGCAGUCUCACCUGUCUGCAAUCAAGCUACCAGUAUUUAAGACCAGCACAUUCAACAAGUCUUCUCCAGAUCUACAGCUAACCAGUGUUAGUGUUAGGCUACAUUGAAAGUAGUAUUCUCACUUAACCUGUGUCUCUCUGUUCUAGUAACCCACCAGGUCACCACGCUUCACUCUUGAGCAAUACUUACCUUCAUUAAUAAUAAUAAUAAUACAUUUUAUUUGAAAGCGCCUUUCAAAACACUCAAGGUCGCUGUACACAGUAGAGUAAAAAGCAACAUAAAAGCAAUUAGGACGUCGGUCUUGCUGCAGUCACCCAGUCUGGUUACCCUCCAUUCCUCUCUACACAUCACCUGCCUUCCUUCCUGUCACGGCUUCUGGAACUCAUUUGGAUCUGGACUUUGACUCACCCCGGAUUGGAAACUCACCUGGACCUUUUUGGACUGCCCUCCUUCCACAUCGUUCUCCGCCUGCAACGAGUAAGCCAUUAGAAACACUUCCAGCCUUACUUACCAUUAAUCACUGGAACCCAGCUGACUCUCUGCACUCCUUUUGUUGCAGUCACUCUGCACUGCUUCACCCGAGCCACAGCCCUUCCUCCCCUUGGCCCUGUUCAUGGACUUGUAACGCCGUUAUUCCCAUCACUGGUGCUCAGCAGCUUGUAGAAAAAGUUGAGUGUGGAAGAAGUGGCGAGAAGGUGGAGCUGAAAAGCUAAAAGAAGCUAAAAAUACAUGCAACAAAAUGUGUCAAAUUAACUGACUGUUAGGUAGUGCUGCUACACUGUGAACAGCGGUACCAGCAACAACCAGUAACCAGGCCUCAAAGUCACAGGAGGCUGCUGCUAGGGAGAGAAAGAGGAAGGUUAAAUUAAUGUGGUAAGAAAAUAGAAGGAAGAAGAUAAUUAGGGAUUCAGGUAAAAUGAAUGGCUUCUUUGACCAUGAGCCAUUGCUAAUCACUAAAGUAUGGCUUUUAAUUAUUGGCACUUACAGCACUGCAGCUAAGAAAUAACCCAACAUGUCAUGGUUCUGGGUCAUUUUGACCCAGCUUUUUCAGUUUCUUAUAUUUUGGUAUAUUUCUGUAUUAUGAUUUAUGUUCUGGUUCUUUAAGUUGUGCUAUUUUGAUUAUUAUUCUAGGUUUAGUUCAGCGUCAAGUUUGCAUCUUUGUGAUUUGCUUCAUGUUUCCUGUUUUAUUUUGAUAGUCCCAAACCUAUGUCAGUGUAUUCAGUUUUACUUCCCCCUGUCCCAUUAGCCCUAAUUUCUCCCAGCUGUGUCUCCCUCCUGUUUCCCAUUAAAUGAUUAGGCCUCUGUGUAUAUAAGCCCUGUGUGUUCCUUUGUUCUCUGUUGCGUCGUUAAUG
This is a long non-coding RNA of Oreochromis niloticus (Nile tilapia), 1854 nucleotides long. The record is from Ensembl. NCBI's taxonomy places the organism in Eukaryota, Metazoa, Chordata, Actinopteri, Cichliformes, Cichlidae.